This 495-nucleotide unclassified non-coding RNA is filed under the name Hevea brasiliensis (rubber tree). Lineage: Eukaryota; Viridiplantae; Streptophyta; Magnoliopsida; Malpighiales; Euphorbiaceae. The record is from RNAcentral.
UUUUCUUUUUUCUUUUUCUUUUUCUACAAAUCAAAGAAUUUCAUUAUAUGAUACACCAGAGAGAAUAAUAGAAAGAAAGAACAAAACAGAUUGAGAAAGUGAAUAGAACUUUUAUUUUUCUUAGUAAUUUCCAAAGUUAUUGAUAAGUUUUAAGUCAGUAAUAUUAGAAUGGUAGCUGUGAUAUAUCAAGUUUGAAUACCAAUAAGAUACAAUUGUACUAAAAAAAUAAUAAUUUCCAAAGCCAUCACUGUAUGGGAUGCAAUGGUAGUAAAGAGAAAAGAGUUUAUUUUUGACUUAUUCAAUAAUUUCAAAAGCAAGGUAUUGUUGGCCAUACUCAACUAAGUUGUCCUUACAUAUGUUCUUCCCCAAGAAAAUAUUCCUCACAUGGGUCAAAUUUUGCAGAUCAAUUAUUAUUCUUUUUCAACUACCUAUCUUGUUUCUAACGCACCACCAGCCUGCUAGUACCACCACAAAAAAUAUUUUUUAAAUAUAUUA